CAGAAGCGUAUAUUAAUGUUGUUGCAGUUAAAACGCUCGUAGUUGGAUCUUGGAGAAGGACCAGAGAUCUGUCCGCCUGAAGGCGAGUACGGACUCUUCCUCUCUGUAUUUGGUAACACUGCAUCGUGGACCUUAAUUGGUGUUGCGAUUGGCCGGAGGGAAACCGAGGGCUGGGCAGGGCGCCGUGAAAGUAGAGGGCGGGUUGCAAGACCUGUUCUCCGGCGAGCGUCGGGUGGCAGUUUACCUCAUUUACUUUGAAAAAAAUAGAGUGCUCAAAGCAGGCCUUGUGGCCAUUGAAUAAUUCAGCAUGGGAUAAUAGAAUAUGAGACUGUAACUCAUUUUGUUGGUAUUAUGAGUUUGGACUAAUGAUUAAAAGGGACAGUCGGGGUGGUUUGUAUUGAAAAGCUAGAGGUGAAAUUCUUGGAUUUUUUCAAGACAAACUACUGCGAAAGCAAUCUACUAGGAUGCUUUCAUUAA
Molecule: ribosomal RNA, 477 nt
Filed under: uncultured eukaryote
Lineage: Eukaryota
Description: partial 18S ribosomal RNA
Rfam family: Eukaryotic small subunit ribosomal RNA
Source: RNAcentral